Long non-coding RNA from Octopus sinensis (East Asian common octopus), 188 nucleotides. RefSeq lists it as uncharacterized. The transcript is spliced from 2 exons. The record is from RefSeq and is a predicted model, not a curated record. NCBI's taxonomy places the organism in Eukaryota, Metazoa, Mollusca, Cephalopoda, Octopoda, Octopodidae.
GCACCUAGAAAGUUACCCUCCUAGACACAAGUCCGGGCAAGGUAGUUUAUGGAAGACCAGCAGUCGCCCAUGUAUACCAGCCUCUCCUCUCCACACCACCGAUGUUACCCAAGGAAAAGGCAGAGGCCAAUACAGUUUGGUACCAGUGACGGUGCAACUCAUUUCAACAGCUGAGUGAACUGGAGCAA